Pogona vitticeps (central bearded dragon) is the source of this 280-nucleotide non-coding RNA. NCBI's taxonomy places the organism in Eukaryota, Metazoa, Chordata, Lepidosauria, Squamata, Agamidae. The record is from RefSeq and is a predicted model, not a curated record.
UGAAGAGGGUAGAAGAAUAGGCAGCAGAAUCAAUGAGCCAAGGCAGAAGGUUUUGAGGAUUGGUGAUGGGCUCUGCAGAUCUCCAGUGAUGGCAAUACUUAAUUCUGGGCCUGAUAUCUGUUAUAAGGCAAGGAAAGAGCAACACAAGGGGAAGAGGACAGUCGGCUGAAAGUUCUCGGAAAGUUUGGCUCUUCUUCGCCUCUACACAAGCUGGUGGUGGAGAACCCCGGUACUGCUCCACGGCAAGGCUAGAUGAGCUUGCUCCCUCUACUCUACUCUC